Molecule: ribosomal RNA, 269 nt
Filed under: uncultured prokaryote
Description: partial 16S ribosomal RNA
Rfam family: Archaeal small subunit ribosomal RNA
Source: RNAcentral
UACCUGCAGCUCAAGUAGUGACCGCUAUUAUUGGGCCUAAAACGUUCGUAGCCGGUUUGGUAAAUGCCUGGGUAAAUAGUGUAGCUUAACUAUACGAAUUCCGGGUAGACUGCCAAACUUGAGACCGGGAGAGGCUAGAGGUACUCCUGGGGUAGAGGUGAAAUUCUGUAAUCCUGAGGGGACCACCAGUGGCGAAGGCGUCUAGCUAGAACGGGUCUGACGGUGAGGAACGAAGCCCUGGGGCGCGAACCGGAUUAGAUACCCCAGUA